Pelobates cultripes (western spadefoot toad) is the source of this 239-nucleotide non-coding RNA. The record is from the annotation of a GenBank genome assembly. Lineage: Eukaryota; Metazoa; Chordata; Amphibia; Anura; Pelobatidae.
CACAGUGAGAAGCACGCAAGCGCCUCUAGUGGCUGUCAAUGAGACAGCCACUAGAGGAUUAGAGGGAAGGCUUAACCCAUUCAUAAACAUAGCAGUUUCUCUGAAACUGCUAUGUUUAUGAAAAAAUGGGUUAACCCUAGCUGGACCUGGCACCCAGACCACUUCAUUAAGCUGAAGUGGUCUGGGUGCCUAGAGUGGUCCUUUAAUGACUCAUAAUCCUCCCCACUACCCAUCUCUUU